GGCCCUUUGUGAGAGAAAAAUAGGGGGUCUGGCCUGCCCGGUGACAAUAUGUUAAACGGCCGCGGUAUUCUGACCGUGCAAAGGUAGCGUAAUCAUUUGCUCAUUAAUUGUGGGCUAGUAUGAAUGGCUUGACGAGGGUGCGGCUGUCUCUUUAUAAAUAUAUGGAAAUUAUUUUUUGGGUGAAGAAACCCAAAUGUAGCUGAGGGACGAUAAGACCCCAUCGAGCUUUAGCUGAAUUCUGGAGAGUGUAAACGGAGUGUGUAAGUUACGGUGUCUAGGUGAAUCUUUAAUUGGGGCGAUUGAGAAGAAAGAGAAACCUUCUGUUAGGGUUAAUAGUUUAUUGGCGAGUGAUCUGAUUUAUUAUAUAGAUAAAAAGAAUAAGUUACCGUGGGGAUAACAGCGUAAUCUUCUUGGAGAGCUCGUAUUGAGAAGAGGGUUUGCGACCUCGAUGUUGGAUUAAGAUUUCCUAAGGGCGUAGAAGCUCUUGAGGGUUAGUCUGUUCGACUAUUAAAAUCUUACA
RNAcentral lists this ribosomal RNA (520 nucleotides) under Diodora cayenensis (rough keyhole limpet). RNAcentral's name for it is "partial large subunit ribosomal RNA". It matches the Rfam family "Bacterial large subunit ribosomal RNA", at positions 1817 to 2600 of the family's 2925-position model. The record is from RNAcentral. Lineage: Eukaryota; Metazoa; Mollusca; Gastropoda; Lepetellida; Fissurellidae.